Molecule: long non-coding RNA, 973 nt
Filed under: Monodelphis domestica (gray short-tailed opossum)
Lineage: Eukaryota; Metazoa; Chordata; Mammalia; Didelphimorphia; Didelphidae
Description: lncRNA (ENSMODG00000030473.2)
Source: RNAcentral
AUACCUUAAAAAUUUUUAGCUAUAUAUAAAAAGAAUAUAAGUGAUAUUCAGGAGAAAGGAAUAAUUUGAGUCAUUUCUUCAAAAGAACAUAAAGGUGAUUGAAAUGUGAAUCAUGAGAACUGACCAGCAGAUGAUUUUCAGAGGAAAAAGACUAAAAAGCAUAAAUGUUCUUUUCACAUGUGUGGAAAGGAAACUAGGCUAACAGUUGGUGGGGGAAGGGGCAACUGGGAGUGGCAGUUGGGUCUUGUGACUAGCACUAAAGUCAUUAUGAUGAUCUAAGAGAAUUUGUUUUUAUUGUUUUCAGAAAAUUUCCUAUCAUCUCAGAGCAAUUGAUGGGGCAAAGAGAAUAUUUGUGCUAACAAUUCUAUGAAGGAAAAUAAAAUGGAAAAUGAAGAGAAUAGAAAGAGAAGAAAAGGAAGGAGAAAAUUAAUAUUUCAAGAACAAAAAAUAUCUCCCUUCAUUUAUCAAUAAUAUUAUUUUUGGAAGAAAAAUAUAGAGGGAUUUCUUUCAGGGACAUGGCAAGAAUCUGGAACCAGGUAUCUUCAUUCUUGAAACUGCAAAUCAGAAAAUGACCAGGAUCUCUCUUCCCCUCAAGCACUCACAAAUUCCACCUCUCAUUCAUUGAGUAAUUGAAUAAUCAAUCUCUACUGCUGAAGGGAAUCUUAUGAGACUUGCUGGGAACUACAAAUACAAAGCGUUGGCAUCACCCACUACCUGGACCACUUUAUUGAGAUCUGACAUGAUGAAGAAACUGAUGCCUACAAGAAGGGGUAGUGACCUGCCCAAGGUCAUACAGUGGCUGAGAUUUGAAACCAGGGCCUCUAAGUCCAAACUGCUCUCUCUACUAUACCUCUCUGCCUCCAGUUUAUCACUUCUCACUGGCUGAAGAAGUUUAUAUUGACUUUACCAUAUUGUUCUACUGGGUUUGUAGAGUUGCAAGUCUGAAAAGUAAUAUUAAAAAAAUCAAGAUAAC